Long non-coding RNA from Anolis carolinensis (green anole), 572 nucleotides. RefSeq lists it as uncharacterized. The record is from RefSeq and is a predicted model, not a curated record. The transcript is spliced from 2 exons. NCBI's taxonomy places the organism in Eukaryota, Metazoa, Chordata, Lepidosauria, Squamata, Anolidae.
AAAAUAGAAAUUUGCUUUAAUUAAGUCAAUGUAAAAUAUAGAAUAAGUAAUAGAAUUUCAAUUAUUUUGUGUUAUAGACCUACACUUCAUGAUUUGCGUAAAAAAUUAAAGUUGGUUCAACUCCCCCUCCCACCUAUUUUUUACUGGCAAUGGGCCUGGAGGUCACAAUGGUCACUGUCUUCUAUGUCAGGUGUCACAAAGGCUCCAUCAACUAAGGAGCAUCAGCCUGACAAUAGAGGGCCCUGACUCUUUGAGACAGGGACUCAGCAUGGAGCCACAAUGGGUACAUUCUGUCUCCUUCAGCCAGGAAAUAUCAGCAUAAAGAUAUACUUCUGUCUUCUUCAGAAUGGCAACAUCAGGAUGAGGACAAUGGGGUGGAGAGGACAACAUGCCACCACAGGAGGACUGGGACCUCAUCACAUGAGAUACAUUUCUGGACUAUGUCCCAAUCAGGUACCAUCUGUGGCUUCAUCAUGGGGAGAUGAAGGGCUAAUCAGAACUAUCACACAAUGUCAUGUGAUAAGGCAUGCUGGUUUCCACCUCUGUGCAAUAAAGUUCUUACUCCCCCUUUA